Molecule: ribosomal RNA, 1491 nt
Filed under: uncultured bacterium
Lineage: Bacteria
Description: bacterial SSU rRNA
Rfam family: Bacterial small subunit ribosomal RNA
Source: RNAcentral
AGAGUUUGAUCCUGGCUCAGGAUGAACGCUAGCUACAGGCUUAACACAUGCAAGUCGAGGGGCAGCAUGGUCUUAGCUUGCUAAGGCCGAUGGCGACCGGCGCACGGGUGAGUAACGCGUAUCCAACCUGCCUUACACUCUUGGACAGCCUUCUGAAAGGGAGAUUAAUACAAGAUGUUAUCAUGAGUAAGCACUUUCACAUGAUUAAAGGUUUACCGGUGUAAGAUGGGGAUGCGUUCCAUUAGAUAGUAGGCGGGGUAACGGCCCACCUAGUCUUCGAUGGAUAGGGGUUCUGAGAGGAAGGUCCCCCACAUUGGAACUGAGACACGGUCCAAACUCCUACGGGAGGCAGCAGUGAGGAAUAUUGGUCAAUGGACGAGAGUCUGAACCAGCCAAGUAGCGUGGAGGAUGAAGGUUCUAUGGAUUGUAAACUUCUUUUAUACGGGAAUAAACGAAUCCACGUGUGGAUUUUUGCAUGUACCGUAUGAAUAAGGAUCGGCUAACUCCGUGCCAGCAGCCGCGGUAAUACGGAGGAUCCGAGCGUUAUCCGGAUUUAUUGGGUUUAAAGGGAGCGUAGAUGGGUUGUUAAGUCAGUUGUGAAAGUUUGCGGCUCAACCGUAAAAUUGCAAUUGAUACUGGCAGUCUUGAGUACAGUUGAGGUAGGCGGAAUUCGUGGUGUAGCGGUGAAAUGCUUAGAUAUCACGAAGAACUCCGAUUGCGAAGGCAGCUUACUAACCUGUAACUGACAUUGAUGCUCGAAAGUGUGGGUAUCAAACAGGAUUAGAUACCCUGGUAGUCCACACGGUAAACGAUGAAUACUCGCUGUAGGCGAUAUACAGUCUGCGGCCAAGCGAAAGCAUUAAGUAUUCCACCUGGGGAGUACGCCGGCAACGGUGAAACUCAAAGGAAUUGACGGGGGCCCGCACAAGCGGAGGAACAUGUGGUUUAAUUCGAUGAUACGCGAGGAACCUUACCCGGGCUUAAAUUGCAACCGAAUAUGGCGGAAACGCUAUAGCUAGCAAUAGCGGUUGUGAAGGUGCUGCAUGGUUGUCGUCAGCUCGUGCCGUGAGGUGUCGGCUUAAGUGCCAUAACGAGCGCAACCCUUGCCGAUAGUUACUAACAGGUCAUGCUGAGGACUCUGUCGGGACUGCCAUCGUAAGAUGUGAGGAAGGUGGGGAUGACGUCAAAUCAGCACGGCCCUUACGUCCGGGGCUACACACGUGUUACAAUGGGGGGUACAGAGGGCUGCUACCACGCAAGUGGAUGCCAAUCCCAAAAACCUCUCUCAGUUCGGAUUGAAGUCUGCAACCCGACUUCAUGAAGCUGGAUUCGCUAGUAAUCGCGCAUCAGCCACGGCGCGGUGAAUACGUUCCCGGGCCUUGUACACACCGCCCGUCAAGCCAUGGGAGCCGGGGGUACCUGAAGUGCGUAACCGCAAGGAGCGCCCUAGGGUAAAACUGGUGACUGGGGCUAAGUCGUAACAAGGUAGCC